AUUGAACGCUGGCGGCAUGCCUUACACAUGCAAGUCGAACGGCAGCACGGGAGCAAUCCUGGUGGCGAGUGGCGAACGGGUGAGUAAAGUAUCGGAACGUGCCCAGUCGUGGGGGAUAACGUAGCGAAAGCUACGCUAAUACCGCAUACGAUCUAUGGAUGAAAGCGGGGGAUCGCAAGACCUCGCGCGAAUGGAGCGGCCGAUAUCAGAUUAGGUAGUUGGUGGGGUAAAGGCUCACCAAGCCGACGAUCUGUAGCUGGUCUGAGAGGAUGACCAGCCACACUGGGACUGAGACACGGCCCAGACUCCUACGGGAGGCAGCAGUGGGGAAUUUUGGACAAUGGGCGAAAGCCUGAUCCAGCCAUGCCGCGUGCAGGAUGAAGGCCUUCGGGUUGUAAACUGCUUUUGUACGGAACGAAAAGGUUUGGGCUAAUAAGCUGAGCUCAUGACGGUACCGUAAGAAUAAGCACCGGCUAACUACGUGCCAGCCGCCGCAGUAA
RNAcentral lists this ribosomal RNA (500 nucleotides) under uncultured bacterium. RNAcentral describes it as "partial 16S ribosomal RNA". It matches the Rfam family "Bacterial small subunit ribosomal RNA", at positions 30 to 523 of the family's 1533-position model. The record is from RNAcentral.